This 499-nucleotide ribosomal RNA is filed under the name uncultured bacterium. RNAcentral describes it as "bacterial SSU rRNA". It matches the Rfam family "Bacterial small subunit ribosomal RNA", at positions 418 to 918 of the family's 1533-position model. The record is from RNAcentral.
AUGGGUUGUAAACUGCUUUUACAGAGGAAGAAACCUCCCCUUGCGAGGGGAAUUGACGGUACUCUACGAAUAAGGAUCGGCUAACUCCGUGCCAGCAGCCGCGGUAAUACGGAGGAUCCAAGCGUUAUCCGGAAUCAUUGGGUUUAAAGGGUCCGUAGGCGGGACAAUCAGUCAGCGGUGAAAGUCUGUGGCUCAACCAUAGAAUUGCCAUUGAUACUGUUGUUCUUGAAUACUUAUGAAGUGGUUGGAAUAUGUAGUGUAGCGGUGAAAUGCAUAGAUAUUACAUAGAACACCAAUUGCGAAGGCAGAUCACUAAUAAUUUAUUGACGCUGAUGGACGAAAGCGUAGGUAGCGAACAGGAUUAGAUACCCUGGUAGUCUACGCCGUAAACGAUGGUUACUAGCUGUUUGGUCGUAAGACUGAGUGGCUAAGCGAAAGUGAUAAGUAACCCACCUGGGGAGUACGUUCGCAAGAAUGAAACUCAAACGAAUUGACGGAG